RNAcentral lists this transfer RNA (84 nucleotides) under Saprospiraceae bacterium. Its description in RNAcentral is "tRNA-Leu". It matches the Rfam family "tRNA". From Rfam's summary of the family: Transfer RNA (tRNA) molecules are approximately 80 nucleotides in length. Their secondary structure includes four short double-helical elements and three loops (D, anti-codon, and T loops). RNAcentral also lists the same sequence under 1 other name. Lineage: Bacteria; Pseudomonadati; Bacteroidota; Saprospiria; Saprospirales; Saprospiraceae. The record is from RNAcentral.
GCGGGAAUGGCGGAAUUGGUAGACGCGCUGGUCUCAAACACCAGUGAUUUCACGAUCGUGCGGGUUCAACUCCCGCUUCCCGCA